This 237-nucleotide long non-coding RNA is filed under the name Setaria italica (foxtail millet). RNAcentral's name for it is "long non-coding RNA (SITA_LNC002893)". Lineage: Eukaryota; Viridiplantae; Streptophyta; Magnoliopsida; Poales; Poaceae. The record is from RNAcentral.
UAUAUUAUUAGUUGCUGCCUUGCUGGUACUUGGGCAAGGCAAGGUGGCGAAUGAGGGUCACCAUGGAAGCUGGUAAAGCGGAUGUGGACUUAUCUUCCUUCUUCCAGCAGGGCCCACACGCGGCAAGGGAGAUGAUGAAUUGACGGCCAAUGGUAUUUUUUUUAAAAAAAUAAGAAAUAGAAAAAGAAGGAACACGGGUGCCGUGUGGUCCACGUGUGCGUGACGUGCACGCGUCGU